This 402-nucleotide ribosomal RNA is filed under the name uncultured Pseudomonas sp. Its description in RNAcentral is "bacterial SSU rRNA". It matches the Rfam family "Bacterial small subunit ribosomal RNA", at positions 981 to 1382 of the family's 1533-position model. Lineage: Bacteria; Pseudomonadati; Pseudomonadota; Gammaproteobacteria; Pseudomonadales; Pseudomonadaceae. The record is from RNAcentral.
UUGACAUGCAGAGAACUUUCCAGAGAUGGAUUGGUGCCUUCGGGAACUCUGACACAGGUGCUGCAUGGCUGUCGUCAGCUCGUGUCGUGAGAUGUUGGGUUAAGUCCCGUAACGAGCGCAACCCUUGUCCUUAGUUACCAGCACGUUAUGGUGGGCACUCUAAGGAGACUGCCGGUGACAAACCGGAGGAAGGUGGGGAUGACGUCAAAUCAGCACGGCCCUUACGUCCAGGGCUACACACGUGUUACAAUGGCCAGUACAGAGGGCAGCCACCCCGCGAGGGGGCGCUAAUCCUAAAAGCUGGUCCCAGUUCGGAUCGGAGUCUGCAACCCGACUCCGUGAAGCUGGAUUCGCUAGUAAUCGCGCAUCAGCCACGGCGCGGUGAAUACGUUCCCGGGCCUU